GACGAACGCUGGCGGCGGGCCUAACACAUGCAAGUCGAACGAGUGGCGGACGGGUGAGUAAUGUCUGGGAAACUGCCCGAUGGAGGGGGAUAACUACUGGAAACGGUAGCUAAUACCGCAUACCAUCGGAUGUGCCCAGAUGUGAUUAGCUAGUAGGUGGGGUAACGGCUCACCUAGGCGAAGAUCCCUAGCUGUGCUGAGAGGAUGACCAGCCACACUGGAACUGAGACACGGUCCAGACUCCUACGGUAGGCAGCAGUGGGGAAUAUUGCACAAUGGGCGCAAGCCUGAUGCAGCCAUGCCGCGUGAAUGAAGAAGGCCUUCGGGUUGUAAAGUACUUUCAGCGAGGAGGCGGUACUCGAAGAAGAAGCACCGGCUAACUCCGUGCCAGCCGCCGCGGUAAUAC
RNAcentral lists this ribosomal RNA (406 nucleotides) under uncultured bacterium. RNAcentral's name for it is "partial 16S ribosomal RNA". It matches the Rfam family "Bacterial small subunit ribosomal RNA", at positions 28 to 526 of the family's 1533-position model. The record is from RNAcentral.